This 411-nucleotide non-coding RNA is filed under the name Ricinus communis (castor bean). Its description in RNAcentral is "Bacterial small subunit ribosomal RNA". It matches the Rfam family "Bacterial small subunit ribosomal RNA", at positions 663 to 1383 of the family's 1533-position model. The record is from Rfam by way of RNAcentral. Lineage: Eukaryota; Viridiplantae; Streptophyta; Magnoliopsida; Malpighiales; Euphorbiaceae.
AACCCCAAAAAAGUGGUAUAUUUUUUUAAUAUGAGAAAACAACCCCGUUAGAGGGGUAUAUUUGUUAAUAUUACAAAACAACCCUAUAAGAGGGGUAUAUUUGUCAAUAUUAGAAAACAACCCCAUAUGAGGGGUAUAUCUUUCAAAUGGAGAAAACAAACCCAAAAAAGUGGUAUAUUUUGCAGCUCUCUGGGUCCCUACCGACGCUGGGGUGCGAAAGCAUGGGGAGCGAACGGGAUUAGAUACCCUGGUAGUCCAUGCCGUGAACGAUGAGUGUUCGCCCUUAGUCUACGCGGAUCAGGGGCCCAGCUAACGCGUGAAACACUCCGCCUGGGGAGUACGGUCGCAAGGCCGAAACUCAAAGGAAUUGUAAGAGGGGUAUAUUUGAUAAUACUAGAAAACAACCCCGUA